GGUUGGAUGGCCGAGCGGUCUAAGGCGCCAGACUAAGGAUCAACGUCGUUCAAACGUGCAACUUGCGGAGCGGGAUUUGACCUUCCCGAUUACGUAAUCUGGUCCUCCGGGGCGUGGGUUCGAAUCCCACUCCAAUCA
Mycena metata is the source of this 138-nucleotide non-coding RNA. Lineage: Eukaryota; Fungi; Basidiomycota; Agaricomycetes; Agaricales; Mycenaceae. The record is from the annotation of a GenBank genome assembly.